CAAUUGAAGAGUUGCCGUCGCCCACCGCCGCCGCCUCCUACCGCAUGCACCUCGCCGGCGACGGCCAUUGGCUCCGUUGGAUUCCCCCAACGUCCCCUGUAUCCACCGCGCACCCGCUGUCCGCGUCUGCCCCUGGCUCUGGUUCAAUUUACGCAUCCAGAUACGAUGAAGGUAGGGCUCGCCAUGGAAGCGGUCGCGGAAGGCUGCUGGACAGAAGGCGUCACUGUGCCUCGUGGGGAUCAAGGUCUGAAUCCAACUAUUAUUCCUCGCAGUAUUCUAAUAGUAACCUGAUCAUUAUGCAUAUGUUAUCGAUCUAGCAAUUAGUUGUUGAAUGGUGUGAUUGUUGUUUGUGAGGUGCUAAUAGGAGUUUCAGGAUAAGUAAAACCACAUCUUGGACGGGAGCCGACAGUGGAUUCACGAUGGGAUUUUCUUUGACUCCUCCAAGUGAUCAGGGGUGGGAGAUUUCGGUGGAUUUGUUUGCUACAACUUUAUGGGGGGUGGUCGCUUCAAGGAUCAGGUACCUGAUGCUUGACAUGUUGCUUGGAGAAUAGGGGUCCGGUGUUCAACACCACCUUCCGCCAUCUAUCCCAGAUGCUCAUCGCACGCCCAUCCACUUUGGAAGCACGCUGGAGUCAGUAUGUGUGAUCAUGUGGCUCUACCUUGUUUAUCUGGUUGCAUGUAUACUCACAUGCGAAAUAUUAGGUGUCACUCAAGUUGAGGAAUUGAAGGAGGCUUGAAAGAAUGCACAUGGUUGGAAAUUUAUAUUCCUUUUGAUUUCAUAAACUGGUUCAGUUUUCUGCCAAACUCAGUACUAUGUCGUUGGUUUCAUGAACUGAAAAGUCCAUAGUUGAUAACUGGUUCAUAAACUAAAAGUCCCAAACGGCUGAGUUUGAUUUGUAAAGAUACACAGGCUGGCGGCGCUAGGCGCGGGGAUGGGGAGGCCGAGAGGGAGCGAGAAAAAGGGGGUGUGACGAAAACAACACUGUUGUCGGCGGUGGUGGCCGCAGCAAGGCACGGCUAUUUCCUGUGUAUCUUUAUAAUGUACAAGUCUCGUUUUUGUUCUGCCUGCAAGGUGUUGGGAAAUCCAUGCUUUGUGCUGGAAGGAACGCUCUAUUAACUUUUUACUACAUUUUUAUGUUGGCUAAAAAUCUAUUCAUGUCUUUGAUCUACAUUUGUCUAUUAGAUUUUGAGAACAUAAGAAAUGAUCUACUAAGUAAGUUGGCAGAUGAGUACUUAAACUCAUGUAAGGAUUUUGAGGUCUUUGUCUCGUUACUGAAGGUUAAAAUUGUGGAGUUGAAGACGAAGAUGGAUAGCUUGUUGAAUGCUAUCAGCUUAAGUGCAUGGAAGUAUACUAGGAGCAUCAGAGAGUCAUCGGUGACCGGAAGAGCAUCAUGCCUAAGGUUAUGGUCAUGAUGGUUGUCUGGAUGGCAUGAAUGGAAGUUGCAUGGCCUGCAAAGAGUUUGGUAGAGAACAAGGUGGACAUUCCCUGAAUGAACCUUCUGCCUGCCUUGUUGAGAACAUAUGGUUUUGCUUGAACUAUAUGUGCCAAACUUGGAUGAGGUUACACAUUGCCAUGUAAGAUCUUUUUUUUUUGUGAUCAGUCAGCCAUAUAGCUAAUUGCAAGCUUUAUCAGAGUAUGUCCAGUCAUAAUUGCAAGCUAGCGAGUGUCUAGAUACAUCUAAAUUUUAACAAACUUGUGACAUCCUUUUACGGAGAGUGGUAGUACUAUGGGUUAUUUUAGCAUGACUUCCGAACUAAAGAUAGACUACAGCCAGUCAAGAGCCAAUAUUUGCGGCUGAAUUUGAGAACUUAUGGAGCUUUACUAUUUGACAUGUUUCUCAUCUUCCGAACAAUAAAGCAGUGCACCUGAAAUUAGUUUCAGGGGGCAUUCAAUGUUCUGAUCUGCAACUUUUGUUUUUCCCAUGUAAUAUUUACCUUGAAUGGUAUUUCAGUUUAUCGCUGAUUACCUUAACAAAGUUCCUAUUUCUUUCUGAGGCAGGUUUCAUAUAGUUAAAUAUCUGUGGCAGGUGGUGAUGCAGAAUUUGCACCAAGAGUACGUCGAUGAAUUUUUUACAAGUUUUCUUAGUUAGCCUGCUAAUAAUAAUAGGAGCAAUUGCAAAGAUGGUAUCUAUAGGUGAAAUAGUGCGAGUAUCGAGAAGAGUAUGCAUCUAAUCAUCUGGGGCGAGACCUUAAUCUUAAGUACCACAAAUGUCCGAUUUAUGCAAUGAACGAUGCUGAAAUGUGAUGCGUUACUAAUAGCCAAGUUGAUUAGCCUGAAUCAGACUCUUGAAGCUGUCUCCUAGGAGGGAUCCUUUCCCCUCAUCAGCGUCAAACAUUUUCUUGGGGAAUUCAAAUGAAGUCAGUACAAGCUACUGAAAUACUCUCAGAUGAGUAGUUGGACACGUUAGAAGCAAAUGAAGAUGCAAGCCCUGGCUGUCACGUGUCAGCAAAUGAUCUGACU
This is a non-coding RNA of Lolium perenne, 2461 nucleotides long. Lineage: Eukaryota; Viridiplantae; Streptophyta; Magnoliopsida; Poales; Poaceae. The record is from RefSeq and is a predicted model, not a curated record.